RNAcentral lists this long non-coding RNA (637 nucleotides) under Heterocephalus glaber (naked mole-rat). RNAcentral's name for it is "lncRNA (ENSHGLG00100037334.1)". The record is from RNAcentral. Lineage: Eukaryota; Metazoa; Chordata; Mammalia; Rodentia; Bathyergidae.
GGUGGUGACCUUGUCCUUUGGAAAGAGUACCAGUCACACCACCUUACUGCCUCUGAGUGGAUACCAGGCUCUAGGUCAAACAUCUGCAGAAUUGUCUCUUUAUUCCUGCCCUCUGUCCUGGGCAGCCACCUGUCCUAAAGCCACUUAGCGGUUUGUGAGCCGGAGCAGAGGCUGUCCUACUCCUGCUCUGUGAGCCAAGUGCGGUUGAGCGAGCACAGAGCUGCCCUGAGUCUGAGUCAUCCAUCCUGGUGAACGUCCCCUCGCUCAAGGCCCAUCUGCAGCCAGUGGGGCCUCCAGGAUGGCCCUUCUGAUGUCACUUCCUGCUGAGGCAGCUCUUGGACUCUGGACGGUGGCACAGUGAAGUCGCCUCCUACCCAGAAAGCCGCCCCUGGCCUCCCUGACCCAGCAGUCACCCCACUUUGCUCCUUGCACCAGGAGUAAUUCCUUUUCCUUGUCUUCAUUGAGGACUCCUCUGUGGCCAGCAGGGUGAGCGACGUGGGUGUAGACUCGGUUCUCUGCGGGCGGAUGGAUAAUCGGUGUUCGGAUGCCUUUUCGCGGCGGAUGGUUUUGGUUUCUUUGUUGAAGGGGAUGACAGAGGCUCCGAGAGGCCAGGCUGCUUGUCUGAGGUCACCGCGCA